UUUAGCAGAGAUGCUUUAGUGCCUUCGGGAACUCUGAGACAGGUGCUGCAUGGCUGUCGUCAGCUCGUGUUGUGAAAUGUUGGUUAAGCCCCGCAACGAGCGCAACCCCUAUCCUUUGUUGCCAGCGAUUCGGUCGGGAACUCAAAGGAGAUUGCCGGUGAUAAACCGGAGGAAGGUGGGGAUGACGUCAAGUCAUCAUGGCCCUUACGAGUAGGGCUACACACGUGCUACAAUGGCGCAUACAAAGAGAAGCGACCUCGCGAGAGCAAGCGGACCUCAUAAAGUGCGUCGUAGUCCGGAUUGGAGUCUGCAACUCGACUCCAUGAAGUCGGAAUCGCUAGUAAUCGUAGAUCAGAAUGCUACGGUGAAUACGUUCCCGGGCCUUGUACACACCGCCCGUCACACCAUGGGAGUGGGUUGCAAAAGAAGUAGAUAGCUUAACCUUCGGGAGGGCGUUUACCACUUUGUGAUUCAUGACUGGGGUGAAGUCGUAACAAGGUAAGCGUAGCGAG
This 512-nucleotide ribosomal RNA is filed under the name uncultured bacterium. RNAcentral's name for it is "bacterial SSU rRNA". It matches the Rfam family "Bacterial small subunit ribosomal RNA", at positions 996 to 1509 of the family's 1533-position model. The record is from RNAcentral.